GGAGGGAAAUAGUAACCUAACCAAUGACGUCAGAGGAGGCAAAACACACACAUACUCGUCAUUUAAACCCAAGCGGGAAAACAGAAUGAACAUUGGUCUUUCGUUAAAUCUCCAGUGAAGGUCCACGUCCCGUUUGUAUUUUAUUGUUAAAAGUUAGGACAACAUGGUGAGGACGAAGGCAGACAGUGUCCCCGGAACUUACAGAAAAGCUGUGGCUGCAUCUGCACCCAGGAAGUCAUUGGGUGCCUCGAGUUCUGCUAAUGCAUUAAGCAGCUCUCAAGCAGGCACACCUGCAAAGAGUAAAUUUGCUGGUGGUAAUCCUGUGUGUCCUCGGCCCACCCCAACUUGGCAGAAGGGAAUCGGAGAUUUCUUUGGUGGGCCCAGCAGGAAGCCUGACAAAGAGAACCACCUCCCCCAGUCAGAUGAUGAAGAGGCCGGAGUCAGUGGAGUGUCCAAGUCAUCCAGGAUUUCCAGACCACUGCCUGCUGAGGAUGCUGAGGGUGAAUGAGCUUAGACAAUGGUGCCCCACUUGAAAAGCCAUUGCCUCUAAUACUUGAAUGGGUUACAACCUAUGCUAUCACAACCUGCAGCUGAGCGACUUAUCCACGCCUUUAUCUCAUCCUGUUUGGACUCUUGUAACGCCCUGUUGGCGCAUCUGCCAAAAUCCCAGUUCACACCUACCAAGCUAUCCACAACUCUGGACCCAAGUACCUGUCUUACCUUAUCCUAACCCACCUUUGCUCCUUCAGCUCCCUUCAACAGACUAAACUAUGGGUGACACGGCUUUCAGUUGAAUGGCUCCUCUGCUGUGGAGCGCACUUCCAGGCCUGCAGAGACUAUGGCCUCGUAAGGCACAGCUACAGGCUGCUGUUCAGAAAAGUAUAAGGAUAUGUUAAUUCUGUUCUGUUCAUAGGCUCUGACACCUGAAUAUAACCUUGAUGUCUGCAUACUAUGUUCUGUGUUGUAUUGUUUAAAUUUUCUUU
This is an RNA transcript of Oncorhynchus gorbuscha (pink salmon), 983 nucleotides long. It is a transcript of the gene named PCNA-associated factor-like, with no coding region annotated. The record is from RefSeq and is a predicted model, not a curated record. The transcript is spliced from 5 exons. NCBI's taxonomy places the organism in Eukaryota, Metazoa, Chordata, Actinopteri, Salmoniformes, Salmonidae.